UACGUAGGGUGCAAGCGUUGUCCGGAAUUAUUGGGCGUAAAGGGCUCGUAGGCGGUCUGUCACGUCGGGAGUGAAAACUCGGGGCUUAACCCUGAGCCUGCUUCCGAUACGGGCAGACUAGAGGUAUGCAGGGGAGAACGGAAUUCCUGGUGUAGCGGUGAAAUGCGCAGAUAUCAGGAGGAACACCGGUGGCGAAGGCGGUUCUCUGGGCAUUACCUGACGCUGAGGAGCGAAAGUGUGGGGAGCGAACAGG
This 253-nucleotide ribosomal RNA is filed under the name uncultured bacterium. RNAcentral's name for it is "partial 16S ribosomal RNA". It matches the Rfam family "Bacterial small subunit ribosomal RNA", at positions 524 to 776 of the family's 1533-position model. The record is from RNAcentral.